AUGGGAACAAUAUCCCGAUGCAAAUCCUCUCGAUUCGAUCCGUUCGUUUCGCCUCAUGCAAGACCGACUCCAUAUAAAUACCCCCUCCUCCUCAUCCGAUUUUCGCAAAAAUUGGAAGGUUUCGAUCUUGUUUCACCCCGAUCCAAUCUCGCCGGAGUUCCCCGUCGCCUGAAGGAUGUUUCCGCUGCCACCGAAGACGCGUGCGAGAACAACUCCCCGACGCCUUUCGAAUCUCACCGGAAUUCGCCUCGCUCCAGCCGCUCGCCUUCGUCACCACCGCAAGAACUCGACACCACAGACACUACCAUCGCCAUCGGCGAGACGCGCCGGACCCCGUCGUCUUCCUCUCCAACCCCGAAGACCACCAACAUGAGCGCCACGACCACCACCCAAAGUCGCAGCACCGUUGACGGCCGAGUCGCUCGAGCUCUGAGCUCCGUCCCACGGGCCCCUGCCCGACCCCGUUGCCCAGCGCCGCCCGACGCCACGCCGGAGACGCCGCCCCACCCUGCCUUCGUCUGCCUCGCCGGAGUCGCCGCCUGA
Molecule: ribosomal RNA, 543 nt
Filed under: Triticum aestivum (bread wheat)
Lineage: Eukaryota; Viridiplantae; Streptophyta; Magnoliopsida; Poales; Poaceae
Description: partial small subunit ribosomal RNA
Source: RNAcentral